RNAcentral lists this long non-coding RNA (1491 nucleotides) under Equus caballus (horse). RNAcentral's name for it is "lncRNA (ENSECAG00000056241.1)". Lineage: Eukaryota; Metazoa; Chordata; Mammalia; Perissodactyla; Equidae. The record is from RNAcentral.
GUUGUAAAGGUGGGGCACUAAUCUGAUAGGGCUGGUGUCCUUACAAGGUCAGGAAGAGAUCUCUCUCUCUCUCUCUCUCUCUCUCUCUGCCAAGUGAGGACACAGGAAGACGUGACCACGCAGGGAGAAGAUCGCCGUCUACAAGCCAGGAAGAGAGCCCUCACCAGCCCCUGACCCUGCUGGCACCCUGAUCGUGGACUUUCAGCCUGCAGAACUGUGAGAAAAUCAAUUUCUGUUGCUUAAGCCACCCAGGUGUUGGUAUUUUGUUAUGGCAGCCUGAGCAGACUGAGACAAGUACCUACUGCUCGAGACGUGGGUCUGAAGGGAGAGAAAUCCCCUCAUCUCUGAUUCUGUGAUUUGGUUUGCGAGCUGCAAGAAUAUGAGUGAAGGGAAGUGUUGAAAGAGGAUAAAAGAAGGAAUAACCCAUUAUCUAAUCACUUUGGAAAAAAUGAGGCCUAUUUCACAAUGUCCUACGCAGACUUUGAAGGGUUCUUGCAGUAACAGCUCUCAGCCCAGCUUUCUUCCUUCUGUCCACACUUGUGGCUGUGGCAGUGACUUUUUAAAAAACAACCACCAUAGGAAAGAAAAAAGUCAAAGAGCAGAAGCCUCUGGAUUUUGCACCGCUGAUCACUGUAUUGACGAAGUUUGAGGUCUACUCUGCUGUUAUAUUCUAAUUGGAAGAGAAAUUUAACUGACAAGACUUAACACAAAAGACAAUAAACAGAAUUUUUUAGGUGGAGAAACAUAACUUGAAGAAAAAGAAGACUCUUGCUCAUCGAUUGUUCACUUUUCGUAAAUUGCAGCUACCUAGAGUUGUACAGUUGACAUGGCUCUUUCACAUGCAUCAUCUGAUUUGAUCCCCAAAACAAGCUCAAUGGGGCAAGAAACAGCUUGAUUAAAUGAUUUACCAAAGGUUACUUGGCUGGUAAAUGGCAGCACAGAAACUGGAAUGAGGAUUUUAGUUCAUCUAGUUUUUAAAAAAUCUAUUGUGUACCUAUUAUGGGUAAGCAUUGUAUUAGAUCUUGGAGACAAAAUGUGGACAGACAAAGAGGGAACAGACAGCAAACAAAAUUUGUUUAUGACAGUUUUGAUAGAUGCAAAUGCAAGAAAAGUGAAGAUUGUGAUGAAAAUUUAUAAGAAGGUCAUACCUUUGCCUGGAGAUGGGGUUUGGGUCAAGAGAGGCUGGCCCAAAGAAGUGACAUUUAUGUUCCCAGACCAGUGUCGUGGCUCCUAGUUUAACUAGAAUUCAAUACCAAUGGGCUCUCCACUCUAGUAAGAUAGCUUACCAUAGCAAAAUAGGGAGAAAUGAGAAAUACAACAGAUGGUAGUAUGUUUUUAUCAAGCUAAAUGUAUUUAAAAUAAAGGUCUGUCUUAUUUCUCAGAUUGUCUUUCCUAUUUAUGGGUUUAAACCACUCUUUCUUUUAUACAGUGAUUGUUACGGUAAAUAAAAUUUUUUUUAGUGAAUUGCUUGGGGCUAUAAAAAAUUUCAAA